This 206-nucleotide unclassified non-coding RNA is filed under the name plant metagenome. RNAcentral's name for it is "partial contains small subunit ribosomal RNA, internal transcribed spacer 1, and 5.8S ribosomal RNA". The record is from RNAcentral.
UCUCCGUAGGUGAACCUGCGGAGGGAUCAUUACUGAGUGAGGACCCUUGGGUUAUACCUCUAACCCUAUGUUUCUGCCCCGUUGCCUCGGGGGCAACCCGGCCCGGCGUUGGGGCCCCCGAAAGACCCCUUAAAUUCGCGUUGUGAUGUGUCUGAAUGAACGUUUUAAGUGAUGCCAAACUUUCAGCAACGGAUCUCUUGGUUCUA